Scomber scombrus (Atlantic mackerel) is the source of this 421-nucleotide long non-coding RNA. RefSeq lists it as uncharacterized. NCBI's taxonomy places the organism in Eukaryota, Metazoa, Chordata, Actinopteri, Scombriformes, Scombridae. The record is from RefSeq and is a predicted model, not a curated record. The transcript is spliced from 5 exons.
CUCUCAGUCCAGAAAAACAAUGUCUGAGACACGUGGCUCUGAUAUCUGCUUAAACGUGAGAUGCUGGGUCCCCCGGUGAACACGUGACAGAGUCUCCGCCAUGGGAUGAAACUACCAACCUCCUGCCUUUCUUUGGAGUAAAGGCAGAGCCACUGAUGAGCUGCUCAGUGUGGAGAUGAUGGUCAUGCUGCAGGCUGACUGAAACAGUGUGAGCAGCUGGCCUGUAGGGGGCAUUACACGACCAGGAACAAAGACUGAUGUCAGUGUUGCCUGACUGGUGUGGAGAACUGGAGUCCACCUGCUGGGAUGUGACCAGGCUGUCAGACACUUCUGCUCAGCCUGAGUUUGACAUUUAAACUGUCAUUGAUUACAUCAACUUUACAGGAAUGCAAGAACUGAUGGUUGAAUAAAAUUUGAAAAA